UAUGUGAUCGUCUCUCGCAUAUCAAUAAGCGGAGGAAAAGAAACUAACAAGGAUUCCCCUAGUAACGGCGAGUGAAGCGGGAAGAGCUCAAAUUUGAAAUCUUAAAGGGUUUCCCUUUACGAAUUGUAGUUUAAAGAAGUGUUUUCUGUUGAGGUUUUGGUAAAAGUUCUUUGGAAUAGGACAUCAUAGAGGGUGAGAAUCCCGUAUUUGACCUUUACUUUCAACUUUGUGAUACACUUUCAAAGAGUCGGAUUGUUUGGGAAUGCAGUCCAAAAUGGGUGGUAAAUUUCAUCUAAAGCUAAAUAUUGGCGAGAGACCGAUAGCGAACAAGUACCGUGAGGGAAAGAUGAAAAGAACUUUGAAAAGAGAGUUAAACAGUACGUGAAAUUGUCAAAAGGGAAGCGUUUGACACCAGUGUUGUUUUUCUGGAAAAUCAAUUAAAGAACUGUUUAUGCUAAGCUGUUUAGACUUUAUCAGCUAAUCUGUUUAGUUUUGAGCUUUUCUUUAAUGCACUUUUCAGUUAACAAGUCAACAUCAAUUUCUUUUGCUGUAAAAAAGCUUGAGGAAGGUGGCUUGAGAUUCGUCUUAAGUGUUUAUAGCCUCUUGCCUAUGCAGUCGGAGAGAUUGAGGUCUGCAGCGUAGAUCCUUCGGGGCUAAAUGCAUUUGUGCUAAGUUAUAGCAUUUUAUAGACAACUUGUUGACUAUGAUCUGUCUUGUAGCUUACUCGCUUAUGUUAUUUUACCUACGCUUAGGAUGUUGAUCUGUAGUGCGUGCGC
Molecule: ribosomal RNA, 776 nt
Filed under: uncultured Neocallimastigales
Lineage: Eukaryota; Fungi; Neocallimastigomycota; Neocallimastigomycetes; Neocallimastigales
Description: partial large subunit ribosomal RNA
Rfam family: Eukaryotic large subunit ribosomal RNA
Source: RNAcentral